Molecule: ribosomal RNA, 514 nt
Filed under: uncultured bacterium
Lineage: Bacteria
Description: partial 16S ribosomal RNA
Rfam family: Bacterial small subunit ribosomal RNA
Source: RNAcentral
GACGAACGCUGGCGGCGUGCCUAAUACAUGCAAGUCGAACGAAGCUGUUUUAACUGGUGCUUGCACCGACUUAAACAACUGAGUGGCGAACGGGUGAGUAACACGUGGGAAUAUGCCGUAAAGAGGGGGACAACCUGGGGAAACUCAGGCUAAUACCGCAUAGACUCCGAGGAGAGAAGGGGGGGAUCGCAAGGGCUGGCGCGUUACGAAUAGGCUGCGUCCGAUUAGCUGGUUGGAGGGGUAAAGGCCUAGAAAGGCGACGAUCGGGAGCUGGUGUGAGAGGAUGAGCAGCCACACUGGGAAAGAGACACGGCCUAGAAUACUACGGGAGGCAGCAGUGGGGAAUAUUGGACGAUGGGGGGAACACUGAACCAGCAAUGCCGCGUGUGUGAAGAAGGCCUGCCGGUUGUAAAGCCCUUUCCGUGGGGGGGAGGUUUGUUAGGUUAAGAGCUUAACAAAUGGACGUUACCCACAGAAGAAGCACCGGCUAACUCCGUGCCAGCAGCAGCAGUAA